Transfer RNA from Camelus ferus (Wild Bactrian camel), 72 nucleotides. It matches the Rfam family "tRNA". Rfam says of the family: Transfer RNA (tRNA) molecules are approximately 80 nucleotides in length. NCBI's taxonomy places the organism in Eukaryota, Metazoa, Chordata, Mammalia, Artiodactyla, Camelidae. The record is from Rfam.
GUGGGUAUAGCUCAAUGGUAGAGCACAUGCUUAGCAUGCAUAGGGUCCUGAGUUCAAUCCCCAGUACCUCCG